This 425-nucleotide ribosomal RNA is filed under the name uncultured Bacteroidota bacterium. RNAcentral describes it as "bacterial SSU rRNA". It matches the Rfam family "Bacterial small subunit ribosomal RNA", at positions 933 to 1359 of the family's 1533-position model. The record is from RNAcentral. Lineage: Bacteria; Pseudomonadati; Bacteroidota.
UGGAGCAUGUGGUUUAAUUCGAUGAUACGCGAGAAACCUUACCUAGGCUAGAAUGUGAGUGAAUGUUCUAGAGAUAGGACAGUCCUUCGGGACACGAAACAAGGUGCUGCAUGGCCGUCGUCAGUUCGUGCCGUGAGGUGUUGGGUUAAGUCCCGCAACGAACGCAACCCCUACUAACUGUUGCCAGCAUUUCGGAUGGGGACUCAGUUAGGACUGCCUACGCAAGUAGAGAGGAAGGAGGGGACGACGUCAGGUCAUCAUGGCCCUUACGCCUAGGGCGACACACGUGCUACAAUGGGGGAUACAGAGCGUUGCUAACUGGUAACAGUACGCCAAUCGCAAAAAGUCCUUCACAGUUCGGAUUGAGGUCUGCAACUCGACCUUAUGAAGCUGGAAUCGCUAGUAAUCGCAUAUCAGCCAUGAUG